Molecule: long non-coding RNA, 553 nt
Filed under: Mytilus galloprovincialis (Mediterranean mussel)
Lineage: Eukaryota; Metazoa; Mollusca; Bivalvia; Mytilida; Mytilidae
Source: RNAcentral
UAACCAGGUGCUCCGCAGGGCGCAGCUUUAUACGACCGCAGAGGUCGAACCCUGAACAGUUGGGGCAAGUAUGGACAAACAUUCAAGCGUGAUACAGCUCUGAAUUUGGAUUGUGAUCAAAUUUUUGACAUUACAUGGGUUUUUUUUUACACAAAACAAAUGUCAAGAUUUUACAAAUCAAUUAAAGAUUUCUUCUUCAAACUUUUUAAAUCUAAAAUUAAAUAGUUGACACAGCAUAGGUUUCUGACACAGAAUGAAUGUGGUCUAAUGAACUUAAAAGUUUUUUUUUGCCUUUGAGCAAUUCACUAUGCUGUUGAAUAUUAAUCCUCUCAAAAAAAUGUUUGAAGAAAUUUUCUUUUUAUUUAUGAAAUCUAAAAUGAAAAAAAUUUAAACCCCCCCCUUUUUUUUCACAUCCCCGUUUCCCUUUUUCCAAAACUGAUAUCAAUUCAAAUUUCUAAUAGAGUUUGCAACAAUAACUACUCUUUUAAAUACAUCAUAAAAUAUUAAAAUGUAAAAUAAAGUGCUUGUUAUCACUGAAUGGUAAAGAUUGUUU